RNAcentral lists this unclassified non-coding RNA (267 nucleotides) under Aspergillus elegans. RNAcentral describes it as "partial contains 5.8S ribosomal RNA, internal transcribed spacer 2, and large subunit ribosomal RNA". Lineage: Eukaryota; Fungi; Ascomycota; Eurotiomycetes; Eurotiales; Aspergillaceae. The record is from RNAcentral.
CGCACAUUGCACCCCCCGGUAGCCCGGGGGGUAUGCCUGUCCGAGCGUCAUUUUUAGACCGUCAAGCCCCGCUUGGUAUUGGACCCCGCCCCCCACCGUUGAGGGCGGGCCUUAAAUCGGUCGGCCGGCUGCCGCGGCGAGUUACGGGGGGCAGUAGAACUGCAAUACGCCCUCGUAGGACCCGAGGCCCGCCGCGCCCCUAACGAUAGCUUCGCGCAUAACCACGAAAUUGACCUCGGAUCAGGUAGGGAUACCCGCUGAACUUAA